This 443-nucleotide ribosomal RNA is filed under the name uncultured bacterium. Its description in RNAcentral is "bacterial SSU rRNA". It matches the Rfam family "Bacterial small subunit ribosomal RNA", at positions 29 to 521 of the family's 1533-position model. The record is from RNAcentral.
AGCGAACGCUGGCGGCAGGCUUAACACAUGCAAGUCGAGCGCCCAGCAAUGGGAGCGGCAGACGGGUGAGUAACACGUGGGAACGUGCCUUUUGGUUCGGAACAACCCAGGGAAACUUGGGCUAAUACCGGAUAAGCCCUUACGGGGAAAGAUUUAUCGCCAAAAGAUCGGCCCGCGUCUGAUUAGCUAGUUGGUGAGGUAAUGGCUCACCAAGGCUACGAUCAGUAGCUGGUCUGAGAGGAUGAUCAGCCACAUUGGGACUGAGACACGGCCCAAACUCCUACGGGAGGCAGCAGUGGGGAAUCUUGGACAAUGGGCGCAAGCCUGAUCCAGCCAUGCCGCGUGAGUGAUGAAGGCCUUAGGGUUGUAAAGCUCUUUUGUGCGGGAAGAUAAUGACGGUACGCAAGAAUAAGCCCCGCUAACUUCGUGCCAGCAGCCGCGGU